UGCCAGCAGCCGCGGUAAUACGGAGGAUGCAAGCGUUGUUCGGAAUUAUUGGGCGUAAAGAGUACGUAGGCUGCCUUGAAGGUGAGAUGUGAAAUCCCAUGGCCUAACCAUGGAACUGCAUUUCAAACCACAAGGCUUGAGGGAGACAGGGGUAAGCGGAACUCACAGUGGAGCGGUGAAAUGCGUUGAUAUUGUGAGGAACACCGGUGGCGAAGGCGGCUUACUGGGUCUCUUCUGACGCUGAGGUACGAAAGCUAGGGUAGCGAACGGGAUUAGAUA
RNAcentral lists this ribosomal RNA (279 nucleotides) under uncultured bacterium. RNAcentral describes it as "partial 16S ribosomal RNA". It matches the Rfam family "Bacterial small subunit ribosomal RNA", at positions 506 to 784 of the family's 1533-position model. The record is from RNAcentral.